Molecule: non-coding RNA, 455 nt
Organism: Pelobates cultripes (western spadefoot toad)
Lineage: Eukaryota; Metazoa; Chordata; Amphibia; Anura; Pelobatidae
Source: the annotation of a GenBank genome assembly
UUAAAUCAGUGGUGGCUUACUGUGGCUCCCAAACUGUUUUUGAACUAGCCUUAAAACUGUCUUACAACAAAGAGGAGUUAGGCGCUCACUAAAUAAACUAAAAACUGUCUUAGUGGUUAUGGUCCCAGGAGUCCCAUGUUAAACCAUCAAACUGCUUAAGAACUAUUUGACACUUACCUGUAUUUUUCAAGCUUCCCCAUUGCAUGUGGUCUGAGCUGGUCAUUUCUUUUUAUUAUACAGAGUUGGGACAUUAUUUAUUAUCUGAGAGCCACAAGCGGAUAUUAUCGGUCAAUAAUGUUUCGACAUGGUGUGAGUUAGUAUGAUAAUGCAGAAAUAUGAAAUGAAUCUAUUUCAUCUCAGACUGGAAGCUUUGCAGGCAACAGACAGGCGGAUAAGUGUCAAAUUGUCCCUAAACAGGAUGCAGCCAGGGUAACUCCUGUAGAGCAGAUGUGCCC